This 481-nucleotide ribosomal RNA is filed under the name uncultured bacterium. RNAcentral's name for it is "partial 16S ribosomal RNA". It matches the Rfam family "Bacterial small subunit ribosomal RNA", at positions 30 to 507 of the family's 1533-position model. The record is from RNAcentral.
AUUGAACGCUGGCGGCAUGCUUUACACAUGCAAGUCGAACGGUAACAGGCCGCAAGGUGCUGACGAGUGGCGAACGGGUGAGUAAUGCAUCGGAACGUGCCCAGUCGUGGGGGAUAACUACUCGAAAGAGUAGCUAAUACCGCAUACGAUCUAUGGAUGAAAGCGGGGGACCGUAAGGCCUCGCGCGAUUGGAGCGGCCGAUGUCAGAUUAGGUAGUUGGUGGGGUAAGGCUCACCAAGCCAACGAUCUGUAGCUGGUCUGAGAGGACAACCAGCCACACUGGGACUGAGACACGGCCCAGACUCCUACGGGAGGCAGCAGUGGGGAAUUUUGGACAAUGGGCACAAGCCUGAUCCAGCAAUGCCGCGUGCAGGAAGAAGGCCUUCGGGUUGUAAACUGCUUUUGUACGGAACGAAACGGCUCUGGUUAAUACCCGGGGCUAAUGACGGUACCGUAAGAAUAAGCACCGGCUAACUACGUG